UGUCCAGCACACGACUGACGCUCAUGCACGAAAGCGUGGGUAUCGAACAGGAUUAGAUACCCUGGUAGUCCACGCGGUAAACGAUGAUAACUAGUUAUUCGGCGCGACUGAGCGCUGAGUGACCGAGCGAAAGCGUUAAGUUAUCCACCUGGGGAGUACGCCGGCAACGGUGAAACUCAAAGGAAUUGACGGGGGCCCGCACAAGCGGAGGAACAUGUGGUUUAAUUCGAUGAUACGCGAGGAACCUUACCCGGGCUCAAACGCAGCGCGACAGACCCUGAAAGGGGUUUUUCUUCGGACGCGCUGCGAGGUGCUGCAUGGUUGUCGUCAGCUCGUGCCGUGAGGUGUCGGCUUAAGUGCCAUAACGAGCGCAACCCCCAUCUUCAGUUGCCCCCGGGUAAAGCCGGGCACUCUGGAGAGACUGCCGGCGCAAGCUGUGAGGAAGGCGGGGAUGACGUCAAAUCAGCACGGCCCUUACGUCCGGUGAGAGGCGGGGGGUACAAGGGCGGGGCAACAGAGGGAAGCCAGGCGGCGACGCCGAGCGGAUCCCGAAAACCCGUCUCAGUUCGGAUCGGAGUCUGCAACCCGACUCCGUGAAGCU
RNAcentral lists this ribosomal RNA (601 nucleotides) under uncultured bacterium. Its description in RNAcentral is "bacterial SSU rRNA". It matches the Rfam family "Bacterial small subunit ribosomal RNA", at positions 726 to 1327 of the family's 1533-position model. The record is from RNAcentral.